CACAAGUGUAUUAGAACUUGUA
Molecule: non-coding RNA, 22 nt
Filed under: Arabidopsis thaliana (thale cress)
Lineage: Eukaryota; Viridiplantae; Streptophyta; Magnoliopsida; Brassicales; Brassicaceae
Source: RNAcentral